UGCGUUGGGGAAGGGCUGCUCCUCGGAAAACUAACGUUAGCUGGCUGGCUAGUUAGUAAGCUAGCGUCGUGGUGUUCGUUGAUGCGUGGAUCAGAGGUAUACGCCGUCUUGUUUUCCAGUCAAUGCCAAAACGCAAAAACAAACACAAAUUGAAUCAGAUCAACAAGUGCCCCGGUAGCUGGAGUAAGGUAAUUGAAAAAGCAGAAUAAAAUGAGUGAACUGGACCAGUUACGCCAAGAGGCAGAGCAGCUCAAAAAUCAGAUCAGAGAUGCCAGGAAAGCAUGCGCAGAUGCCACACUUUCACAGAUUACAGCUAACAUUGACCCCGUGGGCCGAAUCCAGAUGCGUACAAGACGAACGCUACGGGGUCAUUUGGCUAAAAUCUAUGCCAUGCAUUGGGGAACAGAUUCCAGGCUCUUGGUCAGUGCCUCUCAAGAUGGCAAACUCAUUAUUUGGGACAGCUAUACCACAAAUAAGGUUCACGCCAUUCCACUUCGAUCCUCCUGGGUCAUGACUUGUGCAUAUGCACCUUCAGGAAAUUAUGUGGCCUGUGGCGGCUUAGACAACAUCUGCUCCAUUUACAACCUGAAAACACGCGAGGGGAAUGUACGUGUGAGCCGCGAGCUCGCUGGACAUACAGGAUACCUGUCCUGUUGUCGUUUUCUUGAUGACAACCAGAUUGUUACAAGCUCUGGGGAUACCACUUGUGCACUUUGGGACAUUGAGACUGGCCAGCAGACAACCACAUUUGCUGGACACACAGGUGAUGUCAUGAGCCUGUCAUUGGCCCCUGACGCACGGUUAUUCGUCUCUGGUGCUUGUGAUGCCUCCGCUAAACUCUGGGACGUCCGAGAGGGCAUGUGCAGACAGACAUUUACUGGCCAUGAGUCCGACAUCAAUGCCAUCUGUUUCUUCCCUAAUGGCAAUGCCUUUGCCACGGGCUCCGAUGACGCCACCUGCAGGCUGUUUGAUCUGCGUGCUGAUCAGGAAUUAAUGAUCUACUCUCAUGACAAUAUUAUAUGUGGCAUCACCUCUGUUGCAUUCUCAAAGAGUGGCCGUCUUCUUCUGGCGGGAUAUGAUGACUUCAACUGUAAUGUGUGGGACACACUAAAGGCUGACCGUGCUGGUGUGUUGGCUGGACAUGACAACCGUGUUAGCUGCCUGGGAGUUACUGAUGAUGGCAUGGCAGUUGCAACAGGAUCCUGGGACAGUUUUCUGAAGAUCUGGAAUUGAAGCCUAAAGGUUUAAGAGAGUUGUGCGUUCAAUGAAAUGUCUUUCUGUUUCGUGGUCUUUUGCUGGGGUGCACAUGACACCUGUUGGCUUGAAUGGAUCCUUGCAGUCUCCUGCAUGAUCAGAAAAACAUUCUUUUUCACUAAGCUCUAGAUGUUCUUUUAACUCCAAAGUUGACUGGAAGACCAUUACAACUUCAGAAUGUUCACAGCAUCUUCUUCAACACUGUUUAAACUGACUUGGACACCACAAAAAAUGAAGGGAAACCAAUGCCUUUCCUACACAAAGAAGAGCACAAUUGUUUAUCACCUAGUUAAGAAAGGAUCUCCUGUGGUAUCAAAUCAGAAACUUGUGCAUUCCUUCUUGGACCAUUUUUAUGUUACCUUGAAAGAGAAAACACUAUCAUCCCAUGCAAAUGUGUGCGUCUUGAAAGCAAAUGUUGGAGUGUAAUUGUACAAAUUAUUUAACUUUUUUUUUUUUUUUUUUUUUUUUUAAGAAUUCUAUUCUGAUGGUUUGUUCUUGAUGGCUUUCCUUUUGUCAUAUUUCUUUAGUGGUUUUUAGAUAUGUUUGAAUUGAAGCUUGUCUUUCUAAUCCAGUUAAAUCAUAUAAGACAGAUGAGAGAAAACAUGCAGCAAGUAAUGCAAGUAAAAGCUUGGAUCAUAUUACACGAGCAGCUUUCAAAAUGUCCAUGAUGUAUUUAUAUACUAGCUGUUUUUGUUUCAUCACAGCCUUUUGCACAUGAAGAAGCUUUGCCUCUCAACUAAUACUAUGUUAACUAACCAAGCACAUGCUAUAAGUUAUGAAUGCUCAUUCCAGUACAAAAGGAGUUAUUACGAGUAACUUAUACAGUUAACCCCCUUAAUUCUUGUACAUGCCUUUUGACUUUGGGUGGGAAGGGGUGGGGUAGCAAGGUAGGUGCUGAGAUAAUUGGGGCAUGGCUGGAUUUUAUUAUAUGGAUGGGGGAUUGUGUUUAGCAUCCACUUUGAGUGAAACACCUCACCUGACUAAAUAGACACUUCCUUUGCUUGGGACUGCAGUUGCAACUCUGUGAAUGAAAUGUACAAAUCAAUGUCUGAAAAUAAUGGUCUGAUAUUUUAAGUUAAGACAUUAAUUUUGUCUGCCAUGAGUUAAUUUAGAUGUGCAUGCUGUAGACUUGCUUUCAAUGGUGCAAAUUCCUAGAUUUUGUUUUUAUUUCUGAAAAGGAGAGUAAACCCUAUUGAUUGAUCUUAAUAGAAGCCAAUUGUUUGGGCUCUAACUCCACAUACAUCAUGUACCAAUACUGGUAACGCUAUGCACCAGAGUGAGCAAGAAUGGAGAACAACUUAAUAUUGACUGCAUAGUUGGUGUAAAUUAUGCUUACCAGUUCUAUUGAUGCCAAGUUUUGUAAUAAUUAUAACAAUCAUUGUGACAAUUCUAUCCUUGGCGAGUUUUUCUCUCCUUCAAAAUCUCAGCACUCAAUGGAACAAAAACGUCCUCACAUACUGUCCAUACUAAAACUUUUGUACAUUUCUUUUUCUUUUUUUUUUUUUUUUCUUGGUCUUAAAUUGAAAAUCGGAGCAUCUGAAUGAUAACAUUUCACUGUAUACAGAAGCACUUUUGUUAAAGUUGUGACAUAUUUUCACUUUUCUUUUUUUUUCUGCAAUGAUGUACAAUAAAUGUGAUGUAUUCGUGUGUGGCCACAAGUGAAAAUGCAAUUCAACUGAGAUGGAUUCCCCUUUCUCUUUCCAUUAAUAUUAUAGAGCUCUGCACCCUUAUGUACCUUUUCACUUUUUCAUUUCAGUCUGUUGGUGUUACACGGUGAGCUGGAUGCAAGAUAGAUACUGUACUAAAUUGUACUGUUAUUGAUUGAAAAAUGUAAUAAAAAGCUGUUUGAGA
Micropterus dolomieu (smallmouth bass) is the source of this 3105-nucleotide RNA transcript. It is a transcript of the gene named guanine nucleotide binding protein (G protein), beta polypeptide 1b, with no coding region annotated. Lineage: Eukaryota; Metazoa; Chordata; Actinopteri; Centrarchiformes; Centrarchidae. The transcript is spliced from 12 exons. The record is from RefSeq and is a predicted model, not a curated record.